RNAcentral lists this ribosomal RNA (253 nucleotides) under uncultured bacterium. Its description in RNAcentral is "partial 16S ribosomal RNA". It matches the Rfam family "Bacterial small subunit ribosomal RNA", at positions 524 to 776 of the family's 1533-position model. The record is from RNAcentral.
UACGGAGGAUCCAAGCGUUAUCCGGAAUCAUUGGGUUUAAAGGGUCCGUAGGCGGUUUUGUAAGUCAGUGGUGAAAGCCCAUCGCUCAACGGUGGAACGGCCAUUGAUACUGCAAGACUUGAAUUACUAGGAAGUAACUAGAAUAUGUAGUGUAGCGGUGAAAUGCUUAGAUAUUACAUGGAAUACCAAUUGCGAAGGCAGGUUACUGCUAGUGGAUUGACGCUGAUGGACGAAAGCGUGGGGAGCGAACAGG